AGUAGCAAGGUUAAGCACUUAAGGUGCGGAGCCGUAGCGAAAGCGAGUUUUAACUGAGCGUUCAGUUACUUGACGUAGACCCGAAACCGGGCGACCUACCCAGGAGCAGGAUGAAGCGAAAGUAAAAGUUCGUGGAGGUCCGAACCCACGAGCGUGGAAAAGCUCGGGGAUGACUUGUGGGUAGCGGUGAAAUUCCAAUCGAGCCCGGAGAUAGCUGGUUCUCCCCGAAAUAGCUUUAGGGCUAGCCUCAAGGUGAGAGAUACGGAGGUAGAGCACUGAAUGUCCUAGGGGUAUUGCACCUACCGAAGACUAUCAAACUCCGAAUGCCGUCAUCUUAUACUUGGGAGUCAGACUGUGGGUGAUAAGAUUCAUAGUCGAAAGGGCAACAGCCCAGAUCGUCAGCUAAGGUCCCUAAAUGUAAGUUAAGUGGUAAAGGAUGUGGGAUUGCACAGACAACCAGGAUGUUGGCUUAGAAGCAGCCACUCAUUCAAAGAGUGCGUAAUAGCUCACUGGUCGAGUGAUCCUGCGCCGAAGAUUUCCGGGGCUAAAACUUACUACCGAAGCUACGGCAUCAGUAAUGAUGGGUAGGGGAGCUUCCCAUA
Molecule: ribosomal RNA, 602 nt
Filed under: Clostridioides difficile
Lineage: Bacteria; Bacillati; Bacillota; Clostridia; Peptostreptococcales; Peptostreptococcaceae
Description: bacterial LSU rRNA
Rfam family: Bacterial large subunit ribosomal RNA
Source: RNAcentral